RNAcentral lists this ribosomal RNA (395 nucleotides) under Marimonadida sp. Its description in RNAcentral is "partial small subunit ribosomal RNA". It matches the Rfam family "Eukaryotic small subunit ribosomal RNA", at positions 582 to 975 of the family's 1831-position model. The record is from RNAcentral. Lineage: Eukaryota; Cercozoa; Imbricatea; Marimonadida.
AUUCCAGCUCCAGUAGCGUAUAUUAAAGUUGUUGCAGUUAAAAAGCUCGUAGUUGGAUUUCUGGCAAGGCAGAGCUAACCUGGUACUAUGUAUCGUGUGUUGGACUCGGUCUGCCAUCCUUCCAGAAAAGCAUCAUACCCUUCAUUGGGCCGUGGUGAUAGAUCUGGAACUUUUACUUUGAAAAAAUUAGAGUGUUCAAAGCAGGCGUUACGCUAUGAAUACAUUAGCAUGGAAUAAUAAUUUAGGACUUCAGUACUAUUUUGUUGGUUUCUAGGACCGAAGUAAUGAUUGAUAGGGAUAGUUGGGGGUGCUAGUAUUCAGCGGCCAGAGGUGAAAUUCUUGGAUUCGCUGAAGACUAACUUAUGCGAAAGCAUUCACCAAGGAUGUCUUCAUUA